RNAcentral lists this ribosomal RNA (503 nucleotides) under uncultured bacterium. Its description in RNAcentral is "bacterial SSU rRNA". It matches the Rfam family "Bacterial small subunit ribosomal RNA", at positions 97 to 578 of the family's 1533-position model. The record is from RNAcentral.
GGCGGACGGGUGAGUAACGCGUGGGUAACCUACCCAUAAAGCCGGGACAACCCUUGGAAACGAGGGCUAAUACCGGAUAAUCUUAAGUCUUGGCAUCAAGGCAUAAGGAAAGGUGGCCGAUGAAAAUGCUACCGAUUAUGGAUGGACCCGCGUCUGAUUAGCUAGUUGGUGGGGUAAAGGCCUACCAAGGCGACGAUCAGUAGCCGGCCUGAGAGGGUGAACGGCCACACUGGGACUGAGACACGGCCCAGACUCCUACGGGAGGCAGCAGUGGGGAAUCUUCCGCAAUGGACGAAAGUCUGACGGAGCAACGCCGCGUGUAUGAUGAAGGUCUUCGGAUUGUAAAGUACUGUCUUUGGGGAAGAACAGUGUGCUUGAGAAUAUUGGGCACAAAUGACGGUACCCAAGGAGGAAGCCCCGGCUAACUACGUGCCAGCAGCCGCGGUAAUACGUAGGGGGCGAGCGUUGUCCGGAAUUACUGGGCGUAAAGGGCGCGUAGGCGG